Non-coding RNA from Prunus mume (Japanese apricot), 731 nucleotides. NCBI's taxonomy places the organism in Eukaryota, Viridiplantae, Streptophyta, Magnoliopsida, Rosales, Rosaceae. The record is from RefSeq and is a predicted model, not a curated record.
CCCUGCGCAAGGAUGACACGCAUAAAUCGAGAAAUGGUCCAAAAUUGUUUUGCUCUUUUCUGCCAAAUUUUUUUUGCCUCUCCACAACGUUUCCCACAAUCCCAAAGGCCACAGCGGUAGUUCAAUGCAGUUACAGAGGCUUUAGAAGCUAUACGAACUAUGAGCAUUUUGCAUUUGAAGCCUUCGAUGGUUCGGUGGCUUAGUCUUUGAUCUUCCAGGCCCCUUGAGCUCUCAAGCUUGCACUCAUGAAUCUUUCGAAAGUCCAUACUGUCUGUUACUUCGAAAACCAUGAAGCUGAUGGAUCGUUCGAAGUAAUUGUCGGAGUUGCUUCAGUUUGGGAACUAGAAGGUAGUGAAAGCCAUACCACCUUUUUUUUCACAAGGUAAUCAACUCAAAACUGAAGCCUUUACCACUUUGACAUAUAGUUGGCCUUUUGUAUCAAAAGUCUGCUUGCUUGAGGCAUGUUGGCACUUCACAUAUUUUCCUUAACAAUAUCGCGAUGCAAAUUCUGGGAUACGCCCCAUACAAGUUUCUUUUACUUUCCUUAGGGUUGCAAAGAUUAGAAAACUGAGCACAAAACUGGAGUGCAUCUUAACAAAGACCUCUAGAGGAAACAAAGGUAGAAAGAAAUUUGACUGUACAUAUUGUGUUCUUCAUUAUAUGCUGUGGUUAGAAAAGAUUACAAGGACAGAGGCCUAGCAGAAGAAAGAAAACAAUAAUAUUACAAGAAA